RNAcentral lists this ribosomal RNA (603 nucleotides) under Brevundimonas mediterranea. RNAcentral's name for it is "bacterial SSU rRNA". It matches the Rfam family "Bacterial small subunit ribosomal RNA", at positions 67 to 716 of the family's 1533-position model. Lineage: Bacteria; Pseudomonadati; Pseudomonadota; Alphaproteobacteria; Caulobacterales; Caulobacteraceae. The record is from RNAcentral.
CGAACUCUUCGGAGUUAGUGGCGGACGGGUGAGUAACACGUGGGAACAUGCCUUUAGGUUCGGAAUAACUCAGGGAAACUUGUGCUCAUACCAAAGGUGCCCUUCGGGGGAAAGAUUUAUCGCCUUUAGAGCGGCCCGCGUCUGAUUAGCUAGUUGGUGAGGUAAAGGCUCACCAAGGCGACGAUCAGUAGCUGGUCUGAGAGGAUGAUCAGCCACAUUGGGACUGAGACACGGCCCAAACUCCUACGGGAGGCAGCAGUGGGGAAUCUUGCGCAAUGGGCGAAAGCCUGACGCAGCCAUGCCGCGUGAAUGAUGAAGGUCUUAGGAUUGUAAAAUUCUUUCAGUAGGGACGAUAAUGACGGUACCUACAGAAAAAGCCCCGGCUAACUUCGUGCCAGCAGCCGCGGUAAUACUAAGGGGGCUAGCGUUGCUCGGAAUUACUGGGCGUAAAGGGAGCGUAGGCGGACAUUUAAGUCAGGGGUGAAAUCCCGGGGCUCAACCUCGGAAUUGCCUUUGAUACUGGGUGUCUUGAGUGUGAGAGAGGUAUGUGGAACUCCGAGUGUAGAGGUGAAAUUCGUAUAUAUUCGGAAGAACACCAGUGGC